GGAAUCUUGCGCAAUGGGCGAAAGCCUGACGCAGCAACGCCGCGUGGGGGAUGAAGGCCUUCGGGUUGUAAACCCCUUUCAGGAGGGAAGAAAUUGACGGUACCUCCAGAAGAAGGACCGGCCAACUACGUGCCAGCAGCCGCGGUAAUACGUAGGGUCCGAGCGUUAUCCGGAAUCCUUGGGCGUAAAGAGCUCGUAGGCGGUUCAGCAAGUCGGCUGUGAAAGUCCGAGGCUCAACCUCGGAAUUGCAGUCGAUACUGCUGUGACUCGAGUCCGGUAGAGGAGAAUGGAAUUCCCGGUGUAGCGGUGAAAUGCGCAGAUAUCGGGAGGAACACCUGCGGCGAAGGCGGGUUGCUGGGCUGACACUGACGCUGAGGCGCGAAAGCUAGGGGAGCGAAC
This 399-nucleotide ribosomal RNA is filed under the name uncultured bacterium. RNAcentral describes it as "bacterial SSU rRNA". It matches the Rfam family "Bacterial small subunit ribosomal RNA", at positions 358 to 773 of the family's 1533-position model. The record is from RNAcentral.